This 74-nucleotide transfer RNA is filed under the name Spirochaetales bacterium. RNAcentral describes it as "tRNA-Arg". It matches the Rfam family "tRNA". From Rfam's summary of the family: Transfer RNA (tRNA) molecules are approximately 80 nucleotides in length. Lineage: Bacteria; Pseudomonadati; Spirochaetota; Spirochaetia; Spirochaetales. The record is from RNAcentral. RNAcentral also lists the same sequence under 2 other names.
GCGCCCUUAGCUCACCUGGAUAGAGCAACUGCCUUCUAAGCAGUAGGUGACAAGUUCGAAUCUUGUAGGGCGUA